CGGUAACAUUUCUAGCUUGCUAGAAGAUGACGAGCGGCGGACGGGUGAGUAAUGCUUGGGAAUAUGCCUUUACGUGGGGGACAACAGUUGGAAACGACUGCUAAUACCGCAUAAUGUCUUCGGACCAAAGGAGGGGACUCUUCGGAGCCUUUCGCGUAAAGAUUAGCCCAAGUGGGAUUAGCUAGUUGGUAAGGUAAUGGCUUACCAAGGCGACGAUCCCUAGCUGGUUUGAGAGGAUGAUCAGCCACACUGGAACUGAGACACGGUCCAGACUCCUACGGGAGGCAGCAGUGGGGAAUAUUGCACAAUGGGCGAAAGCCUGAUGCAGCCAUGCCGCGUGUGUGAAGAAGGCCUUCGGGUUGUAAAGCACUUUCAGUUGUGAGGAAGAGGUAGGAGUUAAUAACUGUUACCUUUGACGUUAGCAACAGAAGAAGGACCGGCUAACUCCGUGCCAGCAGCCGCGGUAAUACGGAGGGUCCGAGCGUUAAUCGGAAUUACUGGGCGUAAAGCGUACGCAGGCGGCUUUUUAAGCCAGAUGUGAAAUCCCCGGGCUCAACCUGGGAAUGGCAUUUGGAACUGGAAAGCUAGAGUUUUGUAGAGGGUGGUAGAAUUUCAGGUGUAGCGGUGAAAUGCGUAGAGAUCUGAAGGAAUACCAGUGGCGAAGGCGGCCACCUGGACAAAAACUGACGCUCAUGUACGAAAGCGUGGGGAGCAAACAGG
RNAcentral lists this ribosomal RNA (720 nucleotides) under gamma proteobacterium GM25. Its description in RNAcentral is "bacterial SSU rRNA". It matches the Rfam family "Bacterial small subunit ribosomal RNA", at positions 67 to 776 of the family's 1533-position model. The record is from RNAcentral. Lineage: Bacteria; Pseudomonadati; Pseudomonadota; Gammaproteobacteria.